ACCUUCUACCGCUACAUGGAAAGCACUGAACUCAAUAACCACACGCUGGAAAAUUUCCAAAGGAUGCUGACAGACAGACACCUUUCUCAGUGCCACGAGGACACGGCAUUCUUCCACGCGAAAUCAGGAUCCAAAGUUUCCUCAUCAGCUGCAGCACCGCGGCCAGUUCAGCUUCAGUGACGUAUUCGAUGUCACAAUUGGAUCACACUGGAUUGGUCAUAUGGAAAGA
Penaeus monodon (black tiger shrimp) is the source of this 229-nucleotide long non-coding RNA. RefSeq lists it as uncharacterized. The transcript has 3 exons. The record is from RefSeq and is a predicted model, not a curated record. Lineage: Eukaryota; Metazoa; Arthropoda; Malacostraca; Decapoda; Penaeidae.